Non-coding RNA from Schistosoma rodhaini, 45 nucleotides. The record is from Rfam. Lineage: Eukaryota; Metazoa; Platyhelminthes; Trematoda; Strigeidida; Schistosomatidae.
AUCCAGCUGACGUGUUCCAAGUAGGAUGAAACGUGCUUCUUGGAU